UACGUAGGGGGCGAGCGUUGUCCGGAAUCAUUGGGCGUAAAGCGCGUGUAGGCGGCCCGGUAAGUCCGCUGUGAAAGUCCAGGGCUCAACCCUGGGAUGCCGGUGGAUACUGUCGGGCUCGAGUCCGGAAGAGGCGAGUGGAAUUCCUGGUGUAGCGGUGAAAUGCGUAGAUAUCUGGAGGAACACCGGUGGCGAAGGCGGCAUCCUGGACCAAUACUGACACUGAGGAGCGAAAGCCAGGGGAGCAAACGGG
RNAcentral lists this ribosomal RNA (253 nucleotides) under uncultured bacterium. RNAcentral's name for it is "partial 16S ribosomal RNA". It matches the Rfam family "Bacterial small subunit ribosomal RNA", at positions 524 to 776 of the family's 1533-position model. The record is from RNAcentral.